Long non-coding RNA from Talpa occidentalis (Iberian mole), 294 nucleotides. RefSeq lists it as uncharacterized. The transcript is spliced from 3 exons. The record is from RefSeq and is a predicted model, not a curated record. NCBI's taxonomy places the organism in Eukaryota, Metazoa, Chordata, Mammalia, Eulipotyphla, Talpidae.
AGUUUCAAUCCAGGACUUUCUGAUGAGUCUGUCAAUUUCCUCAGAACAUUGACUGAAAUGGUGACUGAGAACUGGCUAAUCAGAAUUCUGCCUCCUAUUGGUCAUAGUGAAGGUUCACUAUGAACUGUGACAUGAGCCAGGCCAUUGAGAACCCACUUGAAACUUGUGCUGGAUACAUUGAGGGCUAGCCUCUCUUUCAGUUUUGGGUCAGCCGCCCAAGGAGAAAACCAGGGUCAAAGCCAAGAACGGAAAGAGACUGCAAAUGCAUGCUGUAUAGGCCCCCAUGAACUUUAC